GAUGAACGCUGGCGGCGUGCUUAACACAUGCAAGUCGAACGGUGAAGGCGGAGCUUGCUCUGCUGGAUCAGUGGCGAACGGGUGAGUAACACGUGAGCAAUCUGCCCCUGACUCUGGGAUAAGCGCUGGAAACGGCGUCUAAUACUGGAUACGAGCUGCGAAGGCAUCUUCAGCAGCUGGAAAGAAUUUCGGUCAGGGAUGAGCUCGCGGCCUAUCAGCUUGUUGGUGAUGUAAUGGCUCACCAAGGCGUCGACGGGUAGCCGGCCUGAGAGGGUGACCGGCCACACUGGGACUGAGACACGGCCCAGACUCCUACGGGAGGCAGCAGUGGGGAAUAUUGCACAAUGGGCGAAAGCCUGAUGCAGCAACGCCGCGUGAGGGACGACGGCCUUCGGGUUGUAAACCUCUUUUAGCAGGGAAGAAGCGAAAGUGACGGUACCUGCAGAAAAAGCGCCGGCUAACUACGUG
This 468-nucleotide ribosomal RNA is filed under the name uncultured bacterium. RNAcentral's name for it is "partial 16S ribosomal RNA". It matches the Rfam family "Bacterial small subunit ribosomal RNA", at positions 28 to 507 of the family's 1533-position model. The record is from RNAcentral.